Molecule: long non-coding RNA, 1261 nt
Filed under: Cyanistes caeruleus (blue tit)
Lineage: Eukaryota; Metazoa; Chordata; Aves; Passeriformes; Paridae
Description: lncRNA (ENSCCEG00000011869.1)
Source: RNAcentral
CAGCAGACACACAGUAACCUUAAGUAUUUUUUGGUCUCACCUAACAGCUAGGAAAACCCAGGCUACACUUCACUGAGAUCAAUGGAGACAGACCCGUGCAAAGAGGGAAAUAAUGCUUUUAGUAUUUUGGAUGUGUCUAAGGGCUGUGUUUAACCACAGCUGGUUUACCAGACUGUGACUGAACAAGCCUAAUUUUACCUGCUUAGCAUGGUCAGUACAAGGUACUGCCUUUGUGCACCUACAUUUGGAAAAUAAAUUACUUUUAUUUAAACACUGUCCAUAAUAUCUGAAGCUGGCUGAGGAAAUUCCUUCCAUCAUUAGUACUUCCCGCAUUGUCAUUAGCUACUGCUCAAUCUUUUUCAGUCUUGACACCUUUAAAUUUUACCUUUCUGCAGUUCCAGUCCCCUGUUAGGCUGUCGGUUCCCCACUGGAUGGCAGUCCCUGCAACCUUAUUCACUCUGGGAAGGAAAGUCCAGCUUUGAAGCAGCAAGCUGAAAUCUCAGACUGCUCUCUAGAUGAAUAUGUACGUGAAAUGCCACAGCUGAGACCUCUAAAUGGAACAUGGUUCAUUGAAAGUGAAAUUUCCUUGGUGCCAUCUUUGAGUCAUGGGUACCUCCUCUUCAACAUCAUCUGCAAAAUUCUGUGCAAGGCAACAACUUAUUUAAUGUUGUCUGAUAUAAGCAUAGAGGAGAGACUGCAAUUUGGGAUGUUUACACUGCUGUUGCAGAUUGUACAGGAAAUAAAUUAUGCAGACAUAGAUACUUAAUGCAGCAGUAAUAAUGUUAGUUAGAAAGCCUCACUUUGAAUUUGAAAAGAAAAUAGAAGACACCAGAGUAAGGAGAUUGGCCAAAAGACUCUAUCAAAUGUUAGUCUGUGUAAGCCAGAGUCCUAUUGGUCUCCAGCUAUGCUUCUGAGUCAGCUUGCUGGAUUAGGAGUGCCAGAUCCUGCUUUGCCUCUUAGUGCAUGUCAAUAUUGGAACAAGCCAUAAAAAGGCAGGUUCUGUUUCACAAAUACCUCCAAAUCUUUCAAAACUUUUGAAACCUUCUGAAACUUGUAACCAGCUAUGGCUGUUGAAACCUCUGCUUGCAGAGUGGAAAGGUCAGUCUUUCUAUUUAAGUGUAUCUCUUUUAUGUACACUGGACUUGCAAAAUCUAGUCAAAAACGUUGAAACUGAUAAUUUGAACAAAUGUGUUUGGUUUGACAAAGCAGUUUCUGAAGUAAAAUCUAUUCUUUAAACAGUCUUGCUGUAGUUCCAACAUAA